AGGAAUAUUGGUCAAUGGGCGCGAGCCUGAACCAGCCAAGUAGCGUGAAGGAUGAAGGUCCUACGGAUUGUAAACUUCUUUUAUAAGGGAAUAAAGUCACCCACGUGUGGGUGUUUGUAUGUACCUUAUGAAUAAGCAUCGGCUAACUCCGUGCCAGCAGCCGCGGUAAUACGGAGGAUGCGAGCGUUAUCCGGAUUUAUUGGGUUUAAAGGGAGCGUAGGCGGAUUGUUAAGUCAGUUGUGAAAGUUUGCGGCUCAACCGUAAAAUUGCAGUUGAUACUGGCAGUCUUGAGUGCAGUAGAGGUGGGCGGAAUUCGUGGUGUAGCGGUGAAAUGCUUAGAUAUCACGAAGAACUCCGAUUGCGAAGGCAGCUCACUGGAGUGUAACUGACGCUGAUGCUCGAAAGUGUGGGUAUCAAACAGGAUUAGAUACCCUGGUAGUCCACACAGUAAACGAUGAAUACUCGCUGUUUGCGAUAUACAGUAAGCGGCCAAGCGAAAGCAUUAAGUAUUCCACCUGGGGAGUACGCCGGCAACGGUGAAACUCAAAGGAAUUGACGGGGGCCCGCACAAGCGGAGGAACAUGUGGUUUAAUUCGAUGAUACGCGAGGAACCUUACCCGGGCUUGAAUUGCAACUGAAUGAUGUGGAGACAUGUCAGCCGCAAGGCAGUUGUGAAGGUGCUGCAUGGUUGUCGUCAGCUCGUGCCGUGAGGUGUCGGCUUAAGUGCCAUAACGAGCGCAACCCUUAUCGAUAGUUACCAUCAGGUUAUGCUGGGGACUCUGUCGAGACUGCCGUCGUAAGAUGUGAGGAAGGUGGGGAUGACGUCAAAUCAGCACGGCCCUUACGUCCGGGGCUACACACGUGUUACAAUGGGGGGUACAGAAGGCAGCUACACGGCGACGUGAUGCUAAUCCCGAAAGCCUCUCUCAGUUCGGAUUGGAGUCUGCAACCCGACUCCAUGAAGCUGGAUUCGCUAGUAAUCGCGCAUCAGCCACGGCGCGGUGAAUACGUUCCCG
RNAcentral lists this ribosomal RNA (1016 nucleotides) under uncultured bacterium. Its description in RNAcentral is "bacterial SSU rRNA". It matches the Rfam family "Bacterial small subunit ribosomal RNA", at positions 357 to 1376 of the family's 1533-position model. The record is from RNAcentral.